RNAcentral lists this ribosomal RNA (475 nucleotides) under Epicoccum sp. RNAcentral describes it as "eukaryotic LSU rRNA". The stretch from base 115 to 268 matches the Rfam family "5.8S ribosomal RNA". Lineage: Eukaryota; Fungi; Ascomycota; Dothideomycetes; Pleosporales; Didymellaceae. The record is from RNAcentral.
CUCUUACCCAUGUCUUUUGAGUACCUUCGUUUCCUCGGCGGGUCCGCCCGCCGAUUGGACAACAUUCAAACCCUUUGCAGUUGCAAUCAGCGUCUGAAAAAACAUAAUAGUUACAACUUUCAACAACGGAUCUCUUGGUUCUGGCAUCGAUGAAGAACGCAGCGAAAUGCGAUAAGUAGUGUGAAUUGCAGAAUUCAGUGAAUCAUCGAAUCUUUGAACGCACAUUGCGCCCCUUGGUAUUCCAUGGGGCAUGCCUGUUCGAGCGUCAUUUGUACCUUCAAGCUCUGCUUGGUGUUGGGUGUUUGUCUCGCCUCUGCGUGUAGACUCGCCUUAAAACAAUUGGCAGCCGGCGUAUUGAUUUCGGAGCGCAGUACAUCUCGCGCUUUGCACUCAUAACGACGACGUCCAAAAGUACAUUUUUACACUCUUGACCUCGGAUCAGGUAGGGAUACCCGCUGAACUUAAGCAUAUCAAA